UACGUAGGGUGCAAGCGUUGCCCGGAUUUAUUGGGCGUAAAGGGUGCGUAGGUGGUUGGGUAAGUCUGAUGUGAAAUCUCCGGGCUCAACCCGGAAAUGGCAUUGGAUACUAUUCGGCUAGAGGUUUGGAGGGGGGACUGGAAUUCUCGGUGUAGCAGUGAAAUGCGUAGAUAUCGAGAGGAACACCAGUGGCGAAGGCGAGUCCCUGGACAACACCUGACACUGAGGCACGAAAGCUAGGGGAGCAAACAGG
RNAcentral lists this ribosomal RNA (253 nucleotides) under uncultured bacterium. RNAcentral describes it as "partial 16S ribosomal RNA". It matches the Rfam family "Bacterial small subunit ribosomal RNA", at positions 524 to 776 of the family's 1533-position model. The record is from RNAcentral.